This 822-nucleotide ribosomal RNA is filed under the name uncultured eukaryote. Its description in RNAcentral is "SSU rRNA". It matches the Rfam family "Eukaryotic small subunit ribosomal RNA", at positions 617 to 1466 of the family's 1831-position model. The record is from RNAcentral.
GGGUAAAGCUCGUAGUUGGAUUUCUCUUGAGUAUCACCGGUUCAUACCACGUAUGCAUAUCUGGUUGAGGCUCGAGAUCCUCUCGCGAAACGUUUCUGCGCUUGAUUGCGUGGAGCGGGUCUCGGGACUUUUACUUUGAGGAAAUUAGAGUGUUCACGGCAGGCUAUCGCCCGAAUACAUUAGCAUGGAAUAAUACUAUAGGAUUUCGAUUCUAUUUUGUUGGUUUCUAGAAUUGAAAUAAUGAUUAAUAGGGACAAUUGGGGGCAUUCGUAUCAACACGUCAGAGGUGGAAUUCUUGGAUUGUGUUGCGACGAACUACUGCGAAAGCAUUUGCCAAGGAUGUUUUCAUUGAUCAAGAACGAAAGUAAGGGGAUCGAAGACGAUUAGAUACCGUCGUAGUCUUUACCAUAAACUAUGCCAACUAGAGAUGGGACAUCGUUCACUUACGACUUGUUCCGCACCUUAUGAGAUAUCAAAGUCUUUGGGUUCCGGGGGGAGUAUGGUCGCAAGGCUGAAACUUAAAGGAAUUGACGGAAGGGCACCACCAGGAGUGGAGCCUGCGGCUUAAUUUGACUCAACACGGGGAAACUCACCAGGUCCAGACAUAAUAAGGAUUGACAGAUUGAUAGCUCUUUCUUGAUUUUAUGGGUGGUGGUGCAUGGCCGUUCUUAGUUCGUGGAGUGAUUUGUCUGCUUAAUUGCGUUAACGAACGAGACCUUAACCUGCUAAAUAGGAGCACCUAUCUCCGGAUAAGUGCCUUUCUUCUUAGAGGGACUGUAUGCGUUUCAGCAUGCGGAAGUUUGAGGCUAAAACAGGUCUGUG